UACGGGAGGCAGCAGUGGGGAAUAUUGCACAAUGGGCGAAAGCCUGAUGCAGCGACGCCGCGCUGAACGAAGAAGUAUUUCGGUAUGUAAAGUUCUAUCAGCAGGGAAGAAAAAUGACGGUACCUGACUAAGAAGCUCCGGCUAAAUACGUGCCANCAGCCGCGGUAAU
Molecule: ribosomal RNA, 169 nt
Filed under: uncultured rumen bacterium
Lineage: Bacteria
Description: partial 16S ribosomal RNA
Rfam family: Bacterial small subunit ribosomal RNA
Source: RNAcentral